Molecule: ribosomal RNA, 253 nt
Filed under: uncultured bacterium
Lineage: Bacteria
Description: partial 16S ribosomal RNA
Rfam family: Bacterial small subunit ribosomal RNA
Source: RNAcentral
UACGAAGGGGGCUAGCGUUGCUCGGAAUUACUGGGCGUAAAGCGCACGUAGGCGGAUUGUUAAGUCGGGGGUGAAAUCCUGGAGCUCAACUCCAGAACUGCCUUCGAAACUGGCGAUCUUGAGUUCGGGAGAGGUGAGUGGAACUGCGAGUGUAGAGGUGAAAUUCGUAGAUAUUCGCAAGAACACCAGUGGCGAAGGCGGCUCACUGGCCCGAUACUGACGCUGAGACGCGAAAGCGUGGGGAGCGAACAGG